GACGAACGCUGGCGGCGUGCUUAACACAUGCAAGUCGAACGGAAAGGCCCUGCUUUUGUGGGGUGCUCGAGUGGCGAACGGGUGAGUAACACGUGAGUAACCUGCCCUUGACUGUGGGAUAACUUCAGGAAACUGGGGCUAAUACCGGAUAGGAGCUCCUGCUGCAUGGUGGGGGUUGGAAAGUUUCGGCGGUUGGGGAUGGACUCGCGGCUUAUCAGCUUGUUGGUGGGGUAGUGGCUUACCAAGGCUUUGACGGGUAGCCGUCCUGAGAGGGUGACCGGCCACAUUGGGACUGAGAUACGGCCCAGCCUACUACGGGACGCAGCAGUGGGGAAUAUUGCACAAUGGGCGGAAGCCUGAUGCAGCAACGCCGCGUGCGGGAUGACGGCCUUCGGGUUGUAAACCGAUUUCGCCUGUGACGAAGCGUGAGUGACGGUAAUGGGUAAAGAAGCACCGGCUAACUACGUG
Molecule: ribosomal RNA, 468 nt
Filed under: uncultured bacterium
Lineage: Bacteria
Description: partial 16S ribosomal RNA
Rfam family: Bacterial small subunit ribosomal RNA
Source: RNAcentral